CGACGGCAGCACGGGUGCUUGCACCUGGUGGCGAGUGGCGAACGGGUGAGUAAUGCGUCGGAACGUACCGAGUAAUGGGGGAUAACGCAGCGAAAGUUGUGCUAAUACCGCAUACGCCCUGAGGGGGAAAGUGGGGGACCGCAAGGCCUCACGUUAUUCGAGCGGCCGACGUCUGAUUAGCUAGUUGGUGGGGUAAAGGCCUACCAAGGCGACGAUCAGUAGCGGGUCUGAGAGGAUGAUCCGCCACACUGGGACUGAGACACGGCCCAGACUCCUACGGGAGGCAGCAGUGGGGAAUUUUGGACAAUGGGGGCAACCCUGAUCCAGCCAUUCCGCGUGAGUGAAGAAGGCCUUCGGGUUGUAAAGCUCUUUCAGCUGGAACGAAACGGUACGCGCUAACAUCGUGUGCUAAUGACGGUACCGGCAGAAGAAGCACCGGCUAACUACGUGCCAGCAGCCGCGGUAAUACGUAGGGUGCGAGCGUUAAUCGGAAUUACUGGGCGUAAAGCGUGCGCAGGCGGAUUGUUAAGCAAGACGUGAAAUCCCCGGGCUUAACCUGGGAAUGGCGUUUUGAACUGGCAGUCUAGAGUGCGUCAGAGGGGGGUGGAAUUCCACGUGUAGCAGUGAAAUGCG
RNAcentral lists this ribosomal RNA (633 nucleotides) under uncultured bacterium. RNAcentral describes it as "bacterial SSU rRNA". It matches the Rfam family "Bacterial small subunit ribosomal RNA", at positions 64 to 690 of the family's 1533-position model. The record is from RNAcentral.